AUGAACGCUGGCGGCGUGCCUAAUACAUGCAAGUCGCGCGAACAGACGAGGAGCUUGCUCCUCUGACGUUAGCGGCGGACGGGUGAGUAACACGUGGAUAACCUACCUAUAAGACUGGGAUAACUUCGGGAAACCGGAGCUAAUACCGGAUAAUAUAUUGAACCGCAUGGUUCAAUAGUGAAAGACGGUUUUGCUGUCACUUAUAGAUGGAUCCGCGCCGCAUUAGCUAGUUGGUAAGGUAACGGCUUACCAAGGCGACGAUGCGUAGCCGACCUGAGAGGGUGAUCGGCCACACUGGAACUGAGACACGGUCCAGACUCCCACGGGAGGCAGCAGUAGGGAAUCUUCCGCAAUGGGCGAAAGCCUGACGGAGCAACGCCGCGUGAGUGAUGAAGGUCUUCGGAUCGUAAAACUCUGUUAUUAGGGAAGAACAAAUGUGUAAGUAACUAUGCACGUCUUGACGGUACCUAAUCAGAAAGCCACGGCUAACUACGUG
Molecule: ribosomal RNA, 496 nt
Filed under: uncultured bacterium
Lineage: Bacteria
Description: partial 16S ribosomal RNA
Rfam family: Bacterial small subunit ribosomal RNA
Source: RNAcentral